GAGGCCCAUGAUGAUCGACCAAUAUGUUGCCUACAUUGCUUGAUUUAUUUGUAUGAUAAGAAUGUACUGUGAUUCUGAGUCCUUC
Molecule: small nucleolar RNA, 85 nt
Organism: Phoenix dactylifera (date palm)
Lineage: Eukaryota; Viridiplantae; Streptophyta; Magnoliopsida; Arecales; Arecaceae
Product: small nucleolar RNA SNORD34
Source: RefSeq, a predicted model, not a curated record